This 62-nucleotide ribosomal RNA is filed under the name Aspergillus sp. SCSIO Ind09F01. RNAcentral's name for it is "partial 28S ribosomal RNA". Lineage: Eukaryota; Fungi; Ascomycota; Eurotiomycetes; Eurotiales; Aspergillaceae. The record is from RNAcentral.
UUGACCUCGGAUCAGGUAGGGAUACCCGCUGAACUUAAGCAUAUCAAUAAGCCGGAGGAACU